UGGGGAAUAUUGCACAAUGGGCGCAAGCCUGAUGCAGCAACGCCGCGUGAACGAUGAAGGUCUUCGGAUCGUAAAGUUCUGUUGCAGGGGAAGAUAAUGACGGUACCCUGUGAGGAAGCCACGGCUAACUACGUGCCAGCAGCCGCGGUAAUACGUAGGUGGCAAGCGUUGUCCGGAAUUAUUGGGCGUAAAGCGCGCGCAGGUGGUUUAGAAAGUCUGAUGUGAAAGCCCACGGCUCAACCGUGGAGGGUCAUUGGAAACUAAUAAACUUGAGUGCAGGAGAGAAAAGUGGAAUUCCUAGUGUAGCGGUGAAAUGCGUAGAGAUUAGGAGGAACACCGGUGGCGAAAGCGGCUUUUUGGCCUGCAACUGACACUGAGGCGCGAAAGCGUGGGGAGCAAACAGG
This 404-nucleotide ribosomal RNA is filed under the name Verrucomicrobiota bacterium. RNAcentral describes it as "Verrucomicrobia bacterium partial 16S ribosomal RNA". It matches the Rfam family "Bacterial small subunit ribosomal RNA", at positions 355 to 776 of the family's 1533-position model. Lineage: Bacteria; Pseudomonadati; Verrucomicrobiota. The record is from RNAcentral.